This 338-nucleotide unclassified non-coding RNA is filed under the name soil metagenome. RNAcentral's name for it is "partial contains 5.8S ribosomal RNA, internal transcribed spacer 2, and large subunit ribosomal RNA". The stretch from base 1 to 120 matches the Rfam family "5.8S ribosomal RNA", at positions 35 to 154 of the family's 154-position model. The record is from RNAcentral.
GAUGAAGAACGCAGCGAAAUGCGAUAAGUAAUGUGAAUUGCAGAAUUCAGUGAAUCAUCGAAUCUUUGAACGCACAUUGCGCCCGCCAGUAUUCUGGCGGGCAUGCCUGUCUGAGCGUCAUUUCAACCCUCAAGCAACUUCUGCUUGGUGUUGGGGAUCGGCCGUCAAACGCCGCCCCCGAAAUCUAUUGGCGAUCUCGCUGUAGCUUCCUAUGCGUAGUAGUAACAUCUCGCAUCUGGAGAGCGGCGCGGUCAUGCCGUAAAGCACCCAACUUCUCAGGUUGACCUCAGAUCAGGUAGGAAUACCCGCUGAACUUAAGCAUAUCAAUAAGCGGAGGA